This is a long non-coding RNA of Hippopotamus amphibius kiboko, 5491 nucleotides long. RefSeq lists it as uncharacterized. NCBI's taxonomy places the organism in Eukaryota, Metazoa, Chordata, Mammalia, Artiodactyla, Hippopotamidae. The record is from RefSeq and is a predicted model, not a curated record. The transcript is spliced from 4 exons.
CUUACCUCCCACACCCAAAGCAGCCUCUGAGGUGCUUUGCUAGCUUAAAGGCCAUCCACUCUUGAGAUGGCCUCUCUCCGUCUCCCACAAAAGCAGCGGCUCCUGCAAUCGUUCUUGGCUAUACAUCAGAAAUUUUCCCCUCCACUUCAGGAAGAUUGAUUCAACAAGAGUAACCAGCCUGCACAGAGCUGGGGCAGGCUGGAGGAGCCAGGCCAGUCGGGAGAACAGGGCAGGGCCCUACGGAGUGCCUAGAACAUAAUAUACGCGGAAUAGACUAUAUUGACUUGAAGUAUUCAGCAAACUUUCACCAAGCAAAAUACUGUGCCAGACCCUGUGCCAGGAGCGAGGGCUACAAAAAUGAAAAGCACAUAAGAGGGUGAGGGGACAACCUGCAUUCGACACACGAACGCUGCCGCGGAGCUAGGUGCUGGUGAGAGUGGAAGAAGGCCCCAAGUGCGGGGGAUGCCUGGGGAAGGAGCACUGGAGCUCAGGAAGGGGUGGGGGAGACACCAUGGCUGAGGCCUCCGGGAGACUGGAAACGGGAGGAACUUGCCACAAGGAGGAUGGGCCGUUUCAGGGGGGGAGGAGCAGAGGCUGCAGCAUGGAAGUUUGAGAGAGCCUGGCUUGGCGAGGGUUUUAGGGGAAUAAUAAAUAGCACUCUAAACGGGGUCGCUCCUCCCCAAGGCACAGCUCAGCCCAGCCAGUGAACCCUGGCAAGUGGCACCGGCCGCAGUUGAAUGUCUGUGUAGGGUGAAAGGAAGAGACCCCGCUGAGGGUGCGCGGUCCCUCCUCCCGCGUCACAAGGAGCCCACCCCCAGGCCCAGGAGAACAGGACUGCCAGGAGGGCAGCUUCUUCCAUACCAUUCCCUUGGGAAGUCUGAAAUUCCUCCCAGUCUAUAGAAAUAGAAGACACGAGGCAUAGUCCCACCCCCGCCCCAGCGUUCAGAGAGGAAGUCCUGCAGGGCCACAGGCUGCACAGGUAGGGGGCCUCGUGUGCCCUGCAGCGGGAGAGCUGAACCCCCCAAGGGCCACGGAUGAAAGGAGAGCUGCAUGGAGACAACACCUGGGAGGCACUCUUGGGGCUGCAAGGUGAGGAGGAUGGAGAGGAGGACAUGAGGGGGAGAUUAACCUGUCAGGGGCCACCUCAGAGCUCUGGCCAGGGCUGCGAGGCUGGGAAACGGCGAGGGAAUGGAGAGCUAUUUAGGAGGUGACACACAGAGUCGAUGAUUAACUGGGCGUGACAGACAAAAAGAGAGAGGGAAUCAGGCUGCACGCCAGGCUCUGGCUAGGCCGCUGGCUGGGGGCAAGGGGACCGCGCUCUGGAGACCGAGAGCAGGAGGGAGAGAGGGUGGCAGGGGAAGAGGAGCUCAUUAGGGGACACGCUGGGUUCGAGAGCUAUCAGAAGCCACGGUGCCCAGAGGCGUGGAUCCUGGGAGAGAAGGCUGGCCUGCAGAGAGAUCCAGAAGUCAGCUGACUAGAAGGAGGCACGCUUCCCAGGCAACAGGAGCCUGGAGUGAAAAGGAGCGUGACAGUGAGUCACCAGGACGGCUUUCUCUGCCUCUGUCUCUCCCCACUCCCGGGGAACUCCCGCUCCUCUCAAACACGUCCCAGGGAACUCUUGAACUUGCUUACUUACUUGAACUUACUUCUUGAACUAGACCUCUGCAGCCACGUGGCAUCCAUGGUCCAUGGCUCCCCCUCCCUGCUCCAGCCCACUGGGGACCACCCGGACUCAGAGCCAUGCCUGGGUCCCGAAGCCCACCCAAGAGCUCCAGGGCCCACUGGCAAGGGCAUUGAUGUCUGCAUUGAAAGAACAAGUGUUCAACAAGCAGGUGAAGUUGACCACUAUUAGAAGCAGCUUCUCUGAAAACGAACAAAACCCACAGCAGGCCAGGCCCCGUCUAGAGCAGGGCUAACUCACUCAGCCUCCACUGCCCCCCUCACCGAAACCACCCCUACACACAUCACCACCAUCACCAUCCCCAGGAAUGUCUCCAGCAUCUCUGCACCUGGGGAUCCAGGCCCCACGGACACCCUAGCCUCAGUCCAAGUCUGCCUCCAUUCCUACCCCAGGAUUAGCAUCUUUCCGUAAUGAUUGGCUCUGAGAAUAUCAAUUUGCUUCAGAGGGGAUAAAAAUCCCUAGCCCACCCUGACUGUGCAACUGGAAGGGCAUGGUCCAAGCAGACGAGGAUCAGUACCCAGAGUCUAGAUCAUCCAGUCUGCGGCCCAGCAUCAUCAUUCUGUUGGCGCUGCCCUCAAAGCCCAUGCAGAUUCUAGCCACUGCUCAUCACCUCCAUCGUUCCCAGCCACUUCUCUCUUGCCUGGAUUAUUGUGACAGACUCCCAACUGCUCUUCCUAUUUCUGCCCUUCAGCCUAUUCUUAACACAGCAGCCUGAGUAAAACACCGACCAUGCUCUGCUCAAACCCCGUCUUCCCAUCUCAGAGUAAAACCCAAGUCCUUACAAACCCUGUGGUGAGGACGUAAGCCUUAACACGACCACCACCCCACACACACCUUGUGAUGCUCUGACCUUGACCCUGGACUACUCGUCCUUAUUCACAGUGCUCCUCCAGUCCUCAGGCGAAGGACCUUUGCUGUCCACUCAGGCCCUUUGCACCUGCGGUUCCUUCAGCCUGAAAUAUUCUCCCUGUGCGUGGCCACACGUCCCCCUUCAGUCCUUGCUCGCAGUCUCAAUGAUUACACUGUCUCAAAUGUCAUCACCCAUACACACACACGCACACAGACACACACACACACUUCCUACCUCCUCACCUGCUUCAUUUUUCUCCUCCGCAUUUCUCACAACAUUGUUUACUUAAUGAUCUUGUUGAUGUGUAUUUUAUGAAGAUCAAACGUUGUUUGUUUUGUUCCCUCUGAUCCGCCAUUGCCUAGAAGAGUGCUCGCAGACGUGUGCUGGGAUAAAUCUGUGGGUUGGUCAUGAUGGAGGGAAUGAAACAGUAGCUGGGCUCUUCGCAGGAGAUCCCCAGUUCCCUCACAAACAGACCUGGGCGAGUUCGUCCACUGGGCUCCUGGACAGGCACAAGCAUGCCUGAGAACUGGGCAACCUUGGCUUCCUUCAAACCAGGGAGCCUUGCUGGCAUGCAGGGAGUGACUGAACCCCCCGGGUGGGAGAGAGCUCUCUGGGGAACAGGGCCGCUGAGAGAGCCGGGGCCUGGGAGGACAGCUGGAGAACCGGCAUCCCCAAGACACUGUCGGAUGGCAACAGUGAAACACUCGCAAAAGGGAUUGGAUUUUUUAGCACGAACCAUUGUCACCCAGCCUCUUAAAAAUCACAUUGCCCAGCCUCUCUGGCAGCUUGGAGUGGCCACAUGACUACCCUGGGGUACUUCUAGAAGACGACCUGGGACUCCAGCGUGUUGACUGAAGCUUGCGCUGCACACUGGGACUUGAGGAGGGUCCCAUCCUUAAAAAAGGCAGAGCUGUGGGCGAGAGUAAGCCUGGGUCCUGAGACCAUGAAACCUACUUACCCGCCCUGGACCAGCUACCUCUGAGACUUCUUUGACUCGAUAAAAUCUUGUGUUUGAGACACUGUUAUUUUAGGCUUUCUGACAGCAGGGAAAUUAAUCCAGAACAUUACAGAUGGUGUAUGAGCAACAGCCCAGAUUUCAAAGGAGGACCAUUUUGAAGCUACAAGCAUAUCAACAGUGGCUUCCAGGCUUGAGCAUUUUCCAAGGGCUUGUUCAAUUCCUGCUGUGUCUGGUGAUCCUGGUCUGGUCGUGGAAGCUUGGUGUUAAUCCAGCCCUGGUUCAUCACACACGUCAACACGCCUGGUAUGGAUGGUUCCCCAAGAUGGGACUGAGUGUGAUGCUGUUCAAGUUAUUUUCAAGUUCCUGUAACAGAAGUCACGUCAGAAAAACUAAGGCACCAGCACCACGGGGUCCAGCGAGCAAAGCCAUCCCCUUGGCAGCCAGCCCAGGGAGGAGACAGACAGGAGGGGCGGCGAGGAGGAGAGUGGUCGUUCUAAAGAGAGGGGGACGGAGGGGCGUCGAAGCCUUCGUCUUCCCCUGGCUCAUGUCUCACUAGGGUUGGUUAAGCAGGCCUCGUCUUGUCCCACGAGAAGUAGGACAGGUUAGCGUGUUCUAGGCUUGAAGCACAUGGGGAAGUUCAGCGCUCCCAGAAUUCCCAGGUGGAAGCCCUCUGGGAGGCUCCACCAUCUUGAGAGGUGACUGAAGUGGGGGUUCCCUGUGUCAGUUGCAGGACCCUCCGUUCAGGAUGGAGCCCUAAAUUCUCCCCAUCUGCCCGCAGGAAUAUCCCCUCAUCCUUUUGUUUUUAUUCAGCGUUAGAGAUAAUAUUUCUCUGAGCAGUCUCAGCCCCCAGUUUCUACAAUUUUAGCCAAUCCUUUUUUUCUACCAUCAUCUUAGGUAGUUUUCAGAAGUGUGUUGUUUAUAUAAACAUUUACACACAAACUAAGGUUUUAUGCUUUGUGAUCUCCAAACACAACUCUCAGGUCUCCACACCAAGAGCAGUAUUUCCAGACUCCUGGCCAGAGAUGGAGCAGUCAUGAAGAAUCUCGGGGAGUAAAGAGGCUUCUGACUAGUUAGAUGGUGCCAGAAACUGUCUCUCCCACAGAAGGUCUGGUUUGCUUUAAACCAGUGCUUCCCUAACUUCUCAAAAGAAGUCUCUGUUUAUUUUUGUAUAUGGUGUUACAGAAUGGUCUCAUUUCAUUCUUUUACAUGUAGCUGUCCAGUUUUCCCAGCACCACUUACUGAAGAGACUUUUCUCCAUUGUAUAUUCUUGCCUCUUUUGUUGUAGAUUAAUUAAACCAUAGGUAUGUGGGUUUAUUUCUGGGUUUUCUACCCUGUUCCAUUGAUCUUUAUGUCUGUUUUUGUGCCAACACCAUAGAUAACCAACACAGACCUGCUAUAUAGCACAGGGAAAUAUAGUCAAUAUUUUGUGAUAACCAGUAAGGGAAAAGAAACUGAAUCACCGUGCUGUACACCUGAAACUAACAGAACACUGUAAUCAACUAUACUUCAAUUGAAAAAAAAAAAGAAGCACCUGUUUAAAAAUGCAAAUUCCAGAACCCAUUCCCCAACCCCCUAAAGCAGAAUCUCCAGAAGUCAGGAAAGAUGGGUCUACAAGUACCUCCAGGUGAUUCUUAUCAUAGGGAAGCCCCUUUUUUUUUUUGAUUGCAGAUAACGCCUCACUAGAGAUUCCAAUUUAAUGAGGGGUCGUGGGCCGGGUAGGCGGAACCAGGGUGGAUGGAUGUUUUUGAACACAGUGACUCUGAUGUGUGAUCUACUGAGACUCACUGCUGACCUUCAGGCGUACUUUACCUUAUUCUCACCAGUUUGAUCAAAGCAGCCAAGCUUCAACUGGGCUUCAUAAUGAUGAUUUCAAUCAGGUUUUCUCCCUUUUGGAUAAGGUAUGUUAGUUUUCUUUAUCACCAUUAUUUAAAAACAAAAACAAAAGCUCUGCUUUGGAAACUGUCCUGUGCAUACUUGCCUCACAUAGCCUUCUCAACAAACC